This 1236-nucleotide ribosomal RNA is filed under the name metagenome. RNAcentral's name for it is "bacterial LSU rRNA". It matches the Rfam family "Bacterial large subunit ribosomal RNA", at positions 1564 to 2810 of the family's 2925-position model. The record is from RNAcentral.
UGAAUACGAGACGCUAAGGCGUCGAAGUAGUGUAUGUCGUACUUCCAAGAAAAGCUUGCACUGUCAUAGAUAAAAAACGCCUGUACCAUAACCGACACAGGUGGGUAGGUAGAGUAUACUAAGGGGCGCGAGAUAACUCUCUCUAAGGAACUCGGCAAAAUAACUCCGUAACUUCGGGAGAAGGAGUGCCUUAUUCGUAAGGUUGCAAUAACAAGAUCCAAGCAACUGUUUAUCAAAAACACAGGUCUCCGCUAAGUCGUAAGACGAUGUAUGGGGGCUGACGCCUGCCCAGUGCCAGAAGGUUAAAGAAGUUGGUUAGCAAUUGCGAAGCUGAUAACUGAAGCCCUGGUGAACGGCGGCCGUAACAAUAACGGUCCUAAGGUAGCGAAAUUCCUUGUCGGGUAAGUUCCGACCCGCACGAAAGGCGUAAUGAUUUGGAUACUGUCUCGGAGAGGGGCUCGGUGAAAUAGACUUGUCUGUGAAGAUGCGGACUACCUGCACCAGGACAGAAAGACCCUAUGAAGCUUUACUGUAACUUGAAAUUGAAAUUGGACUUUAUUCGCGCAGUAUAGGUGGGAGGCGUUGAUUAUAAUCUUGUGGGAUUAUUGGAGCCAUCAGUGAGAUACCACUCUUGUAAUGUUAGAUUUCUAACUUUGAAUCAUUAUCUGGUCAAAGAACAGUUUCAGGCGGGCAGUUUGACUGGGGCGGUCGCCUCCUAAACGGUAACGGAGGCGUACAAAGGUUUCCUCUGAACGGUUAGAAAUCGUAUCUAGAGUGUAAAGGCAUAAGGAAGCUUGACUGUGAGACCUACAAGUCGAGCAGGGACGAAAGUCGGUCUUAGUGAUCUGACGGUACUGAGUGGAAAGGCCGUCACUCAACGGAUAAAAGUUACUCUAGGAUAACAGGCUGAUCUCCCCCAAGAGUUCACAUCGACGGGGAGGUUUGGCACCUCGAUGUCGGCUCAUCGCAUCCUGGGGCGGUAGUACGUCCCAAGGGUUGGGCUGUUCGCCCAUGAAAGCGGUACGCGAGCUGGGUUCAGAACGUCGUGAGACAGUUCGGUCCAUAUCCGGUGUAGGCGUUAGAAUAUUGAGAGGAGCCUUCUUUAGUACGAGAGGACCGAGAAGGACAUACCUCUGGUGUACCAGUUAUCGUGCCAACGGUAAACGCUGGGUAGCUAUGUAUGGAGUGGAUAACCGCUGAAAGCAUCUAAGUGGGAAGCCCACCUCAAGAUAAGUA